Non-coding RNA from Camellia sinensis, 254 nucleotides. The record is from RefSeq and is a predicted model, not a curated record. NCBI's taxonomy places the organism in Eukaryota, Viridiplantae, Streptophyta, Magnoliopsida, Ericales, Theaceae.
UCCGGCUGCAAAAAAAAUAAAAUAAAAUUGGGACACUCUCAGUUGCAUGUUGGACACGUGUCUACCGCGUGUCCGAUAUUGGUAUAGAGCCUUCGGAGAGGUGUCCGUGCUUCAUAGAGCACGGGCAUGGACAUGCACGAUAGAGGCACUGACACAUCAAUUUAAAAAAAAAAAAAUGCAUGAGACAACACGUGGGGAACACACACAGAACAUUUGAUUUUAUAAUAUGAAUAUGAUGAUAAAAAAAAAAAAAA